This 585-nucleotide long non-coding RNA is filed under the name Homo sapiens (human). RNAcentral's name for it is "non-protein coding lnc-TRAF5-4:1". The record is from RNAcentral. Lineage: Eukaryota; Metazoa; Chordata; Mammalia; Primates; Hominidae.
CAGCAUUCACAUCAGCAAAAUAAUUCCCACUUCUCUGUGGUUCUGUUCAUUUUUGUUUUCUUCUGUAAUUUUUGAAACUGGGCAACUUCUCGGAAGAUGCAUCAUCUAGGCGGCUCAUAGCUGUAAGAGACCUAAACCUCAAUUCAACAAUGAAGAAACUCAUUGCUUCACAGAUCCACAGAUCCACAAAUCCAAAGGUUCGUGGAUUGCCACCUUCAAAGCACCUCAGUCCAGUGGCCCAGCGAUCCAUGCAGCCGUGUUCUCCUUCAAGCCUUGCUUCAUGCACAAGCUGGCUCAUCUCAGAGGAGCAGAAUUAAAAUUAAAAACAGAAUUAGACAGAAUUUAGGCUGCAGUGACCAGCCUAAAAAGGUGGAGGUGAUGCCCAUGUCCAUCGAUAGACGAAUGUAUAAACAACAUGUGAUGUAUAUGGCCAGGUGUGGUGGUGUGCGCCUGUAGUCCCUGCUGCUCCAGAGGCUGAGGCAGGAGGAUCGCUUGUGCCAGGAGUUCAAGACCAGCUUGGGCAACAUGGUGAGACCCCAUCUGAUUUUCCAGAGGAAAACUAACCCAGGGAAGCAGGGAGGAGAG